RNAcentral lists this ribosomal RNA (451 nucleotides) under uncultured bacterium. RNAcentral's name for it is "bacterial SSU rRNA". It matches the Rfam family "Bacterial small subunit ribosomal RNA", at positions 329 to 793 of the family's 1533-position model. The record is from RNAcentral.
UCCCAGACUCCUACGGGAGGCAGCAGUGGGGAAUAUUGGGCAAUGGGCGCAAGCCUGACCCAGCAACGCCGCGUGAAGGAAGAAGGCCCUCGGGUUGUAAACUUCUUUUAUCAAGGACGAAACAAAUGACGGUACUUGAUGAAUAAGCCACGGCUAACUACGUGCCAGCAGCCGCGGUAAUACGUAGGGAGCAAGCGUUGUCCGGAAUUACUGGGUGUAAAGGGAGCGUAGGCGGGAAUGCAAGUUGGAAGUGAAAGGUAUGGGCUCAACCCAUGAACUGCUUUCAAAACUGUAUUUCUUGAGUGAAGUAGAGGCAGGCGGAAUUCCUAGUGUAGCGGUGAAAUGCGUAGAUAUUAGGAGGAACACCAGUGGCGAAGGCGGCCUGCUGGGCUUUAACUGACGCUGAGGCUCGAAAGCGUGGGUAGCAAACAGGAUUAGAUACCCGGGUACG